RNAcentral lists this unclassified non-coding RNA (305 nucleotides) under plant metagenome. RNAcentral describes it as "partial contains 5.8S ribosomal RNA, internal transcribed spacer 2, and large subunit ribosomal RNA". The stretch from base 1 to 105 matches the Rfam family "5.8S ribosomal RNA", at positions 50 to 154 of the family's 154-position model. The record is from RNAcentral.
GAAAUGCGAUAAGUAGUGUGAAUUGCAGAAUUCAGUGAAUCAUCGAAUCUUUGAACGCACAUUGCGACCUUUGGUAUUCCUUAGGGCAUGCCUGUUCGAGCGUCAUCUAAACCUUCAAGCCCUGCUUGGUGUUGGGUGCCUGUCCCGCCUCCGCGCGCGGACUCACCUCAAAUCCAUUGGCGGCCCCCGCGGCGGCCACGAGCGCAGCAGAAACGCGAACUCGUGAGCCCGUCCGGGCGGCUCCCAGAAGCUACACCCACCCAGUUUGACCUCGGAUCAGGUAGGGAUACCCGCUGAACUUAAGC